GCCUGGGUGGCUCAGUUGGUUGAGCAUCCGACUUUGGCCCAGGUCAUGAUCCCACGCUUUGUGGGUUCAAGUCCCACAUCAGGCU
This 85-nucleotide transfer RNA is filed under the name Felis catus (domestic cat). It matches the Rfam family "tRNA". From Rfam's summary of the family: Transfer RNA (tRNA) molecules are approximately 80 nucleotides in length. Their secondary structure includes four short double-helical elements and three loops (D, anti-codon, and T loops). Further hydrogen bonds mediate the characteristic L-shaped molecular structure. tRNAs have two regions of fundamental functional importance: the anti-codon, which is responsible for specific mRNA codon recognition, and the 3' end, to which the tRNAs corresponding amino acid is attached (by aminoacyl-tRNA synthetases). tRNAs cope with the degeneracy of the genetic code in two manners: having more than one tRNA (with a specific anti-codon) for a particular amino acid; and 'wobble' base-pairing, i.e. permitting non-standard base-pairing at the 3rd anti-codon position. Lineage: Eukaryota; Metazoa; Chordata; Mammalia; Carnivora; Felidae. RNAcentral also lists the same sequence under 1 other name. The record is from Rfam by way of RNAcentral.